Molecule: ribosomal RNA, 332 nt
Filed under: Salmonella enterica subsp. enterica serovar Napoli
Lineage: Bacteria; Pseudomonadati; Pseudomonadota; Gammaproteobacteria; Enterobacterales; Enterobacteriaceae
Description: bacterial SSU rRNA
Rfam family: Bacterial small subunit ribosomal RNA
Source: RNAcentral
UUAAAUUGAAGAGUUUGAUCAUGGCUCAGAUUGAACGCUGGCGGCAGGCCUAACACAUGCAAGUCGAACGGUAACAGGAAGCAGCUUGCUGCUUUGCUGACGAGUGGCGGACGGGUGAGUAAUGUCUGGGAAACUGCCUGAUGGAGGGGGAUAACUACUGGAAACGGUGGCUAAUACCGCAUAACGUCGCAAGACCAAAGAGGGGGACCUUCGGGCCUCUUGCCAUCAGAUGUGCCCAGAUGGGAUUAGCUUGUUGGUGAGGUAACGGCUCACCAAGGCGACGAUCCCUAGCUGGUCUGAGAGGAUGACCAGCCACACUGGAACUGAGACAC